Molecule: ribosomal RNA, 301 nt
Filed under: uncultured bacterium
Lineage: Bacteria
Description: partial 16S ribosomal RNA
Rfam family: Bacterial small subunit ribosomal RNA
Source: RNAcentral
CAGUAGCCGCGGGAAUACGGAGGGCGCGAGCGUUACCCGGAUUUACUGGGCGUAAAGGGCGUGUAGGCGGCCUGGGGCGUCCCAUGUGAAAGGCCACGGCUCAACCGUGGAGGAGCGUGGGAUACGCUCAGGCUAGAGGGUGGGAGAGGGUGGUGGAAUUCCCGGAGUAGCGGUGAAAUGCGCAGAUACCGGGAGGAACGCCGAUGGCGAAGGCAGCCACCUGGUCCACUUCUGACGCUGAGGCGCGAAAGCGUGGGGAGCAAACCGGAUUAGAUACCCCAGUAGUCCCUGUCUCUUAUAC